AGCGAACGCUGGCGGCAUGCUUAACACAUGCAAGUCGCGCGGGUGGUUUCGGCCAUCAGCGGCGGACGGGUGCGUAUCGCGUAGGAAUGUAUCCCGAGGUGGGGGACAACCCUGGGAAACUGGGGCUAAUACCGCAUGGGGCCUGUGGGUCAAAGCCUUAGGGCGCCUUGGGAGCAGCCUGCGUCCGAUUAGGUAGUUGGUGGGGUAAAGGCCUACCAAGCCUGCGAUCGGUAGCUGGUCUGAGAGGACGAUCAGCCACACUGGGACUGAGACACGGCCCAGAAUCCUACGGGAGGCAGCAGUGGGGAAUAUUGGACAAUGGGGGCAAGCCUGAUCCAGCAAUGCCGGGUGGGUGAAGAAGGUCUUCGGAUUGUAAAGCCCUUUCGGCGGGGACGAUGAUGACGGUAACCGGAGAAGAAGCCCCGGCUAACUUCGUG
RNAcentral lists this ribosomal RNA (437 nucleotides) under uncultured bacterium. RNAcentral describes it as "partial 16S ribosomal RNA". It matches the Rfam family "Bacterial small subunit ribosomal RNA", at positions 30 to 507 of the family's 1533-position model. The record is from RNAcentral.